UAGAAAUGGACGAAAGUCUGAUCUAGCAACACCGCGUGUGCGAAGAAGGCCUUCGGGUUGUAAAGCACUUUUUGGAAGGAUUAGGAAGGAAUGUACUUCCAGAAUAAGUCUCGGCUAACUACGUGCCAGCAGCCGCGGUAACACGUAGGAGGCAAACGUUAUCCGGAUUUACUGGGCGUAAAGCGCGUGUAGGUGGUUCUGUAAGUAGGGCGUGAAAGCUCCUGGCUCAACUGGGAGAGGCCGUUCUAAACUGCAGAGCUAGAGGAUGGUAGAGGGAGGUGGAAUUCCGGGUGUAGAGGUGGAAUGCGCAGAUAUCCGGAGGAACACCAGUGGCGAAAGCGGCCUCCUGGACCAUUCCUGACACUCAGACGCGAAAGCUAGGGUAGCAAACGG
This 393-nucleotide ribosomal RNA is filed under the name uncultured bacterium. Its description in RNAcentral is "bacterial SSU rRNA". It matches the Rfam family "Bacterial small subunit ribosomal RNA", at positions 365 to 775 of the family's 1533-position model. The record is from RNAcentral.